Molecule: ribosomal RNA, 497 nt
Filed under: uncultured bacterium
Lineage: Bacteria
Description: partial 16S ribosomal RNA
Rfam family: Bacterial small subunit ribosomal RNA
Source: RNAcentral
GACGAACGCUGGCGGCGUGCCUAAUACAUGCAAGUUGAGCGCUGAAGGUUGGUACUUGUACCAACUGGAUGAGCAGCGAACGGGUGAGUAACGCGUGGGGAAUCUGCCUUUGAGCGGGGGACAACAUUUGGAAACGAAUGCUAAUACCGCAUAAAAACUUUAAACACAAGUUUUAAGUUUGAAAGAUGCAAUUGCAUCACUCAAAGAUGAUCCCGCGUUGUAUUAGCUAGUUGGUGAGGUAAAGGCUCACCAAGGCGAUGAUACAUAGCCGACCUGAGAGGGUGGUCGGGCACAUUGGGACUGAGGCACGGCCCAAACUCCUACGGGAGGCAGCAGUAGGGAAUCUUCGGCAAUGGGGGAAAGUCUGACCGAGCAACGCCGCGGGAGUGAAGGAGGUUUUCGGGUCGUAAAACUCUGUUGGUAGAGAAGAACGUUGGUGAGAGUGGAAAGCUCAUCAAGUGACGGUAACUACCCAGAAAGGGACGGCUAACUACGUG